RNAcentral lists this long non-coding RNA (251 nucleotides) under Olea europaea (common olive). RNAcentral's name for it is "long non-coding RNA (OEUR_LNC007143)". Lineage: Eukaryota; Viridiplantae; Streptophyta; Magnoliopsida; Lamiales; Oleaceae. The record is from RNAcentral.
AGUAGUGCCUAUCACCCCAAGUGCCUGUACCAUGAAUUUGGUUGUAGAUGUACGUGGCUAGAUCAAUCUUGUUCCCUCUAACCAAAUGGUAUAUGAAUCCGGCCUUUGGAUUUGUAAAUGUUGUUCUGUGGGAUAUAGGCUCGAUGUUAUGGCACAUGAAUAACCAUAAAAUUGCUAUGGAUGGGGUGAGAUCUAUCUGAUGCCAGUCUGCUGUAGGUAGAGGCCAAGCGUUUUCACGUCCCAACAAUACC